AGAGUUUGAUCAUGGCUCAGAUUGAACGCUGGCGGCAGGCCUAACACAUGCAAGUCGAGCGGUAGCACAGAGAGCUUGCUCUCGGGUGACGAGCGGCGGACGGGUGAGUAAUGUCUGGGAAACUGCCUGAUGGAGGGGGAUAACUACUGGAAACGGUAGCUAAUACCGCAUAAUGUCGCAAGACCAAAGUGGGGGACCUUCGGGCCUCAUGCCAUCAGAUGUGCCAGAUGGGAUUAGCUAGUAGGUGGGGUAACGGCUCACCUAGGCGACGAUCCCUAGCUGGUCUGAGAGGAUGACCAGCCACACUGGAACUGAGACACGGUCCAGACUCCUACGGGAGGCAGCAGUGGGGAAUAUUGCACAAUGGGCGCAAGCCUGAUGCAGCCAUGCCGCGUGUGUGAAGAAGGCCUUCGGGUUGUAAAGCACUUUCAGCGGGGAGGAAGGCGAUGAGGUUAAUAACCUCAUCGAUUGACGUUACCCGCAGAAGAAGCACCGGCUAACUCCGUGCCAGCAGCCGCGGUAAUACGGAGGGUGCAAGCGUUAAUCGGAAUUACUGGGCGUAAAGCGCACGCAGGCGGUCUGUCAAGUCGGAUGUGAAAUCCCCGGGCUCAACCUGGGAACUGCAUUCGAAACUGGCAGGCUAGAGUCUUGUAGAGGGGGGUAGAAUUCCAGGUGUAGCGGUGAAAUGCGUAGAGAUCUGGAGGAAUACCGGUGGCGAAGGCGGCCCCCUGGACAAAGACUGACGCUCAGGUGCGAAAGCGUGGGGAGCAAACAGGAUUAGAUACCCUGGUAGUCCACGCCGUAAACGAUGUCGAUUUGGAGGUUGUGCCCUUGAGGCGUGGCUUCCGGAGCUAACGCGUUAAAUCGACCGCCUGGGGAGUACGGCCGCAAGGUUAAAACUCAAAUGAAUUGACGGGGGCCCGCACAAGCGGUGGAGCAUGUGGUUUAAUUCGAUGCAACGCGAAGAACCUUACCUGGUCUUGACAUCCACAGAACUUUCCAGAGAUGGAUUGGUGCCUUCGGGAACUGUGAGACAGGUGCUGCAUGGCUGUCGUCAGCUCGUGUUGUGAAAUGUUGGGUUAAGUCCCGCAACGAGCGCAACCCUUAUCCUUUGUUGCCAGCGGUUAGGCCGGGAACUCAAAGGAGACUGCCAGUGAUAAACUGGAGGAAGGUGGGGAUGACGUCAAGUCAUCAUGGCCCUUACGACCAGGGCUACACACGUGCUACAAUGGCAUAUACAAAGAGAAGCGACCUCGCGAGAGCAAGCGGACCUCAUAAAGUAUGUCGUAGUCCGGAUUGGAGUCUGCAACUCGACUCCAUGAAGUCGGAAUCGCUAGUAAUCGUAGAUCAGAAUGCUACGGUGAAUACGUUCCCGGGCCUUGUACACACCGCCCGUCACACCAUGGGAGUGGGUUGCAAAAGAAGUAGGUAGCUUAACCUUCGGGAGGGCGCUUACCACUUUGUGAUUCAUGACUGGGGUGAAGUCGUAACAAGGUAACCGUAGGGGAACCUGCGGUUG
This 1519-nucleotide ribosomal RNA is filed under the name Klebsiella pneumoniae subsp. pneumoniae DSM 30104 = JCM 1662 = NBRC 14940. RNAcentral describes it as "bacterial SSU rRNA". It matches the Rfam family "Bacterial small subunit ribosomal RNA". Lineage: Bacteria; Pseudomonadati; Pseudomonadota; Gammaproteobacteria; Enterobacterales; Enterobacteriaceae. The record is from RNAcentral.